GACGAACCGAGCGAACGUUGUUCGGAAUCACUGGGCUUAAAGGGCGCGUAGGCGGUUCGUUAAGUCCUGUGUGAAAUCCCCCGGCUCAACUGGGGAACUGCACAGGAAACUAGCGGGCUUGAGUUCGGGAGAGGGAAGCGGAAUUCCGGGUGUAGCGGUGAAAUGCGUAGAUAUCCGGAGGAACACCGGUGGCGAAGGCGGCUUCCUGGACCGACACUGACGCUGAGGCGCGAAAGCUAGGGGAGCAAACGGG
Molecule: ribosomal RNA, 253 nt
Filed under: uncultured bacterium
Lineage: Bacteria
Description: partial 16S ribosomal RNA
Rfam family: Bacterial small subunit ribosomal RNA
Source: RNAcentral